UCGUCGCUCCCCGCUCAACUAUCCCUCCCUAUUCGAUCGAUAUAGCAUCUAGAACCCUUUUCUCCUUGUUGCAAAACCAAAAUCGUUGGUACUACUAGAUAUACAUUCGUAAGCACGAGAGAUCCGAUCCCACAGCGUGGUGCUGAUAGAGGUUUUAGAUGGCGGGACCUACUACUCUUCCUUUUUCUGCCGUCAUCUUCUAUGAAUCAUUCCACCAUCACCACCACUAGCAACAAAGAAACGGAGUUCAAAGCACAUUCAAAGACCAUCUUUUAGUGCUGGGGUUGAUCAAGAGGGUCCGUCAAAUGAUAAGGAUGCACUUGGAAGUGAAGUAAGUAGUGGUGACGAAGAAAUGGCGUUCAACGCACAUCUAAAUACCAUUAGUGUCAAACCAGACUCCCUACGCGAGGAGUGGACAGAAGAUAGGAAAGAACAGUAAGCAAUAGGACUUUUUUUUUAAUGGAAAAACAAUGAGAAUUUUUUUUUUUUUUUU
Molecule: long non-coding RNA, 493 nt
Filed under: Olea europaea (common olive)
Lineage: Eukaryota; Viridiplantae; Streptophyta; Magnoliopsida; Lamiales; Oleaceae
Description: long non-coding RNA (OEUR_LNC014948)
Source: RNAcentral